Molecule: long non-coding RNA, 599 nt
Organism: Coffea arabica (coffee)
Lineage: Eukaryota; Viridiplantae; Streptophyta; Magnoliopsida; Gentianales; Rubiaceae
Source: RefSeq, a predicted model, not a curated record
AAAUUUACAGAAUUGAUAGGUGAGGGGACCGAAACUGCAAUUUGCCCAUAAGUAGAAGCAAUCAUCAUAACCAGAGAAAACCACCUUUGACUGAAGUUAAUGGAAAGUACACUAGCGUAACUAACUGCUGCUCACAGCUAUUAAAUGGAGGUGUGCCAGAAAGGCAGCAGCUCCACUUCCCAUUUCCACCUCAAAACCUCAAAUCAAAACAAAGCAGUAGUUCCAAUAUUCAUAAUCCUUCCCACUCAAAUUAGUUACUACUGCUCCUUUGCUAUUGGCAAUUAGGAAGAUGUCAAGGCGAUCUGGGGCGAAGGUUGAGUGCAAAGAUGGUUGGUGCAAGUGAUCUCUCUUGCCUCUGUCUAUCUUUAAUUUAUCCGCUUGUUUCAUUAUAUAUUAUUUGAGGUAGAUAGAUCCACCUGUAUAGAGGCUGCAAGAUUGGUAGUUUGGGAAGUGAUUUGCUGUGCUGCAGUUAAUGUUGUUGAGUCUUUUGUGCUGUAAGAACUCUCCUCAGGGCACCCCAUGAACUGCGAGUACUAAUGCCAAUUUGUUUGAUUAGUGAUGCACAAUUGCACAAUUGCAGCUGAAGACUUGAGACCUCA